GAUGAACGCUGGCGGCGUGCCUAAUACAUGCAAGUCGAGCGAACGGACGAGAAGCUUGCUUCUCUGAUGUUAGCGGCGGACGGGUGAGUAACACGUGGAUAACCUACCUAUAAGACUGGGAUAACUUCGGGAAACCGGAUCUAAUACCGGAUAAUAUUUUGAACCGCAUGGUUCAAAAGUGAAUGACGGUCUUGCUGGCACUUAUAGAUGGAUCCGCGCUGCAUUAGCUAGUUGGUAAGGUAACGGCUUACCAAGGCAACGAUGCAUAGCCGACCUGAGAGGGUGAUCGGCCACACUGGAACUGAGACACGGUCCAGACUCCUACGGGAGGCAGCAGUAGGGAAUCUUCGGCAAUGGGCGAAAGCCUGACGGAGCAACGCCGCGUGAGUGAUGAAGGUCUUCGGAUCGUAAAACUCUGUUAUUAGGGAAGAACAUAUGUGUAAGUAACUGUGCACAUCUUGACGGUACCUAAUCAGAAAGCCACGGCUAACUACGUG
RNAcentral lists this ribosomal RNA (497 nucleotides) under uncultured bacterium. Its description in RNAcentral is "partial 16S ribosomal RNA". It matches the Rfam family "Bacterial small subunit ribosomal RNA", at positions 28 to 507 of the family's 1533-position model. The record is from RNAcentral.